GACGAACCGUCCAAACGUUAUUCGGAAUCACUGGGCUUACAGAGUUCGUAGGCGGUCUGGAAAGUUGGGUGUGAAAUCCCUCGGCUCAACCGAGGAACUGCGCUUGAAACUACCAGACUCGAGGGAGCUAGAGGAAAGCGGAACUGAUGGUGGAGCGGUGAAAUGCGUUGAUAUCAUCAGGAACACCGGUGGCGAAGGCGGCUUUCUGGGUCUUACCUGACGCUGAGGAACGAAAGCUAGGGGAGCGAACGGG
Molecule: ribosomal RNA, 253 nt
Filed under: uncultured bacterium
Lineage: Bacteria
Description: partial 16S ribosomal RNA
Rfam family: Bacterial small subunit ribosomal RNA
Source: RNAcentral